UCUUGUUCUGCCAUACAGCCGUCCCUAGAGGAGACUCUUAUUUUAUUUUUAAGAAAGUGUAGCCAAGGAGUUUUUUUUUUAAUGAAAGAAUCCACUCAAUUUCUCUUUGGUUACAAAACUCUUUUGUCAAGAGGAAUAUUUCACGGUCUUCGUCAUGAAAUGAGCAAGAUUAAAAAUAUGAUCUUUUCUAAACACUGAUGGUGUGUCCUGCCCUUUGUGUACGGUCCAUGACCAUGAAUAAACGUCGGCCACACCCUCUGAACCAAAAGUGGCACAUCUGUUCUGGCCCACUGUUAUAAAUGUGACAGGCUGGGAAUUACAUUUCCAGUCCUAUCUGAACUACAGGUGCUUCGUUUUCUGAGAAGCUAUACAAGGAGCAGCUGUAUUUCCAGACUGUCAUACUUCUCCAGAGCCAUGGCUAUAGCCAGAAUGGAUAAACUGCGAACGACAAGCUACAAAGAUGCCUUAUGGAUUAUUUUGAUUUUAUGCCUCAACAUAAGAGCUGCAGCCUCCACUGAGGGCACCACCAUCUCCACACCUGUCUCCACACCCAUCUCAACUCCAAGCUUCACUGAGUCACCCAGUCCUAGCCCCUCUGUGACCUCCAGCAGCUCCAGCUCCACCACAAACGUUGACACCACAUCCACUGUAGUCCUUGACAUGACCUCUGGCUCCAGUACCCGUGAAAUCUCAGGCAGCCCCAGUUCCUCCAUCACCUCCAGCAGACCAAGCUCCACUGGGACCUCGGAAAGCACUGCUACCAACACUGCAUCACUCCCUGCUGUUGGCACCACUACAAGCUCCAGCACAGGCUCCACUGAAUCCUCCAGUUCCAGCUCCCCUAUGACCCCCAGCAGCUCCAGCUCCACCACAGCCCUUGGCAUCACGUCCACCAGGACCUCUGGCUCCAGUACCCCUGCAAUCUCUGGCAGCCCCAGUUCCUCCAUCACCUCCAGCAGCUCUGGUGCCACUGGGACCUCUGAAAGCCCUGCUACCAACAGCACAUCCGUCCCUGCUGUUGGCAUCACUACAAGCUCCAGCACAAUCUCCACUGAGUCAUCCAGUCCCAGCCCUUCUAUGACCCCCAGCAACUCCAGCUCCUCCCCAGCCCUUGGCAUCACGUCCACCGUGACCUCUGGCUCCAGUACCUCUGCAAUCUCUGGCAGCCCCAGUUCCUCCAACACCUCCAACAGCUCUGGCACCACUGGGACCUCUGAAACUACUGCCAGCACUGUCACUGAUGCUGGGACCACCACGAACUCCAGCUUCACUGUGACCUCCAGUCCUGCCUUCAGCACAACGUCUGGUGCAAGAUCCAACAACACCAACACCUCUGAUACCAUUAACAGUUCUCCAACCACAUUUCCCUUGGCAAACUCCAGUACUAGUGACUCUGUAAACAACACCUCUGUCUUGAACGACACAACCACUCCUCACGUGACUUUAACAUCAAAUGUUACCACUCCCACUUCGGUCUCACCAGGAUCUAACGGCACUUCCUCUCACUCCAAUACUACUGCAUCUCCCUCGGUCCUGGAGAGCGCCAACAGCACAGUCUUUACCAUAACACCGGACUCCAACACCACAUCGGAUUCCAGAGUCACAGUUUCCAGCAUCACUACAGCAAAACCCAAAGACAAAGCUGGCCUCCCCUACUGGGCCAUUGUUUUAAUCAGUUUGGCUGCCGUGGUGGCGGCUGUUUUCUUGACCUGGCUUGCCUACUUGUUGUGCUAUUUGCGAAGAUCAAGCUCCUUCCUUCCCAUGUACCACCCACAUAAUGUCUUCCAAAGUUUCCGAAGUCAAUGAUGGUGAAGAGAAGGACCUUUUCAGUUUGUCACAACAAGCUACCUUGAAGCCUCAUCCCUGGACUUCCCUUUCCGUUGUUGAGAACGUCCUGUCUUCAGCUACAUAGAAUUGCUGAAGCCUACUCUUCUUCCCUGGCAUCUAGAAGUUUCUCUGGGGAAAACAAUGGGAUGAAUAAUACCUUGGGUUCCUAAGGAUCCUUCACAAGGAAUGUAUGUUUUGAUAGUGACUUUCACUCUUUUCAUAUCGUAAACUAUUUUGGGAAACCCAAACACUUGAAAGGCCUCUAUGUUAAUUGAUUACAUCAUUUAAAAAAAUCCAUAUAGGCCACUACUGCCAGCGAGACCAUGGCCUGUAAGCUAAACAGACACUCAGUAGUUAAAAUAAUGUGGACUGGAAGCCAUUUCAGCCAGAACUCCAGAAGCUCUGCUUCAAAUCCUUGGACCACCAUGAAGCAAACUGGCCAAUUUCUGGUGAGUUCACUGGCUCUCAGUCUAACUUAUCCCACAGAGGUGUUGUGGUGACAAACACCAUGCAAAUGUGUGAGCUCUAUGAAUGAAGAGUCAGGUAUAAACAAAGCGUUUGACUAUCUAUUAGAACAGUUCUGGUAGAACCUCGUAUCCACAGGUAUUAGCAGACCGACAUCUGUUCUGUUGACACUGACAGAUCAGGAUGAUAUACCGGUUCCUUUCACUCACAUCUUAAUGAAAUCAGAGACUUGCUGUUUUGUUUUUGUUUUCUGUUUUGUUCUCAUUUUUGUUUUGUAACUACAAUAAAGAAAUCAACUCACAGAAUAUCCCUGGAUGA
RNAcentral lists this long non-coding RNA (2610 nucleotides) under Pogona vitticeps (central bearded dragon). RNAcentral describes it as "lncRNA (ENSPVIG00000009847.1)". The record is from RNAcentral. Lineage: Eukaryota; Metazoa; Chordata; Lepidosauria; Squamata; Agamidae.